AAGGACUUAAGUUAAUAAAACUAUUAAUUUUCAAAGUUAAAAUUAAAAAUUUUUUUAGGCCUUA
RNAcentral lists this transfer RNA (64 nucleotides) under Trigonopteryx hopei. Its description in RNAcentral is "tRNA-Trp". Lineage: Eukaryota; Metazoa; Arthropoda; Insecta; Orthoptera; Trigonopterygidae. The record is from RNAcentral.